AAUUGAAUUGAAAAAUACAUUAUGCCCUAACUUUGUCUGUUCGGUUAAUCUUGCAGAAACAUAUAUACUCCUCCGUCAUCUUAAUCAAUUUAAUUAUUAAUGUUUAAUCUGCCGUGUUGUUUAUUUUCAAUGUUUUGAAGCCUGCCAAAACGGGUCGGGUAACAGUGUAUACCUGGUUCGGGUCAGUACGGACUGAAUACAAAAGGUUCAAUUCUGUUUCGGGUCAAAAUGGGUUCUCACCAAAUUAAGUUUGCGUCUAACACGUUGACCCGUUUAUGACAUGAUAAAAUUCGUGUCUAAAGAGGUUUAACCCGUCUAACCUGUUUAUGACCCGAUCAAACCCGUUUCACUAUCCAAUUUUAAACCUCUUAAAAUAACUAGAUAUAUUACAUAAAUACACCAUAUCAUAAUCAAAACCCUAGCUUGUCAAUCGUCCAUCCAUCUUUCCCUCUUUCUUCAUCUUCGUCUUCAUACAUCUUAGUCAACCAUAAGCAGAAGCACAAACUACAAAAGAAUUAGAAAAAAAGAAACCCUAAAAGAUGAAGAAAAACAAAAAUUUCCGAAAAAGAAGUAUAGCAGAGGUAGAAGACGACAAUGACAUGCACUAAUGCGCAGGUUAAAAUAUAUUGAGCAAGAGUUGGCGAAGAAAAAAGGGAAGAAUAUUGACGUGACAGAUCAAGUUGAAAACGAUAUAAAACACGCAGAGGAUGAAUUAUACAAAAUUCCAGAGCACCUGAAGAUUUAAGCUGAAAAAUAUAGAGGAAACAGAGGCUGCCAAAAAGCUUCUGCAGGAAAAGAGGCUAAUGGGCCGGGCCAAAACCAAAUCUACCAUACCUUCAAGUUAUAGUGCUGACUAUUUCCAACGUGGCAAGGACUAUGCGGAAAAACUUAGGAGAGGAAUGUCUUGUUGAAAUGUUCACACAUCUGUUAUAUCUUUUUAUAUGGUCUAACGACAUUAAUGGAUGAAUUACAGACCAUCCUGAGCUUUACAAGAACAAAGGUGCAAAUAACAAUGGGGAAUCUAAAGCCAGUGAUCCUGCUGCUGUAGAUGGAGGCGAUGGUGGUGGUGGUGGUGGAAGACAAGCGGCAACAGAUCAGAUCAUGCUUGAGCGGUUCAGAAAGAGAGAACGCCAUCGUGUAACCAGGAGAUGAUAAACAAGUCUUUGAUGGUUUGGUGUUUUCUUUAAACAAGUUGAAGAUGGUGUGUUUGUUGUUGGGGCAACUGACAUCUAAGAAUAUUUAUGAUUUUGGAUUAGGAUCAAAUACAAAGGCUCCUUAAAAUAA
This is a long non-coding RNA of Helianthus annuus (common sunflower), 1284 nucleotides long. RefSeq lists it as uncharacterized. The transcript has 4 exons. Lineage: Eukaryota; Viridiplantae; Streptophyta; Magnoliopsida; Asterales; Asteraceae. The record is from RefSeq and is a predicted model, not a curated record.